Molecule: ribosomal RNA, 479 nt
Filed under: uncultured Actinomycetes bacterium
Lineage: Bacteria; Bacillati; Actinomycetota; Actinomycetes
Description: bacterial SSU rRNA
Rfam family: Bacterial small subunit ribosomal RNA
Source: RNAcentral
GCGGGAUGAAGGCCUUCGGGCUGUAAACCGCUUUCAGCAGGAACGAAAAUGACGGUACCUGCAGAAGAAGGAGCGGCCAACUACGUGCCAGCAGCCGCGGUGACACGUAGGCUCCAAGCGUUGUCCGGAUUUAUUGGGCGUAAAGAGCUCGUAGGCGGUUGAGUAAGUCGGGUGUGAAAACUCUGGGCUUAACCCGGAGACGCCAUCCGAUACUGCUCUGACUAGAGUUCAGGAGGGGAGUGGGGAAUUCCUAGUGUAGCGGUGAAAUGCGCAGAUAUUAGGAGGAACACCGGUGGCGAAGGCGCCACUCUGGACUGAAACUGACGCUGAGGAGCGAAAGCAUGGGUAGCAAACAGGAUUAGAUACCCUGGUAGUCCAUGCCGUAAACGGUGGGCACUAGGUGUGGGUUCCAACUAACGGGAUCCGCGCCGUCGCUAACGCAUUAAGUGCCCCGCCUGGGGAGUACGGUCGCAAGACUA